AGCAGCCGCGGUAAUUCCAGCUCCAAUAGCGUAUAUUAAAGUUGUUGCAGUUAAAAAGCUCGUAGUUGAAUUUCGGAGUUUAUCGGUUGGUCGGGCUUCACUGUCCGCACUGGCCUGAUGGAUUCCUACCUUCUGAAUAACCAGCAUGCUAUUAAUUUAGUGCGUUGGGGAAGCAGAGCUAUUACCUUGAAAAAAUUGAGUGCUUAAAGCAGGCUUAUGCUUGAAUAGAUUAGCAUGGAAUAAUAAAAUAGGACGGCUUGGUUCUAUUUUGUUGGUUUCUAGGAUCACCGUAAUGAUUAAUAGGGAUAGUUGGGGGCAUUAGUAUUCAAUUGUCAGAGGUGAAAUUCUUGGAUUUAUUGAA
Molecule: ribosomal RNA, 361 nt
Filed under: uncultured Glomeromycotina
Lineage: Eukaryota; Fungi; Glomeromycota
Description: SSU rRNA
Rfam family: Eukaryotic small subunit ribosomal RNA
Source: RNAcentral